UACGGGGGGGGCAAGCGUUGUUCGGAAUUACUGGGCGUAAAGGGCUCGUAGGCGGCCAACUAAGUCAGACGUGAAAUCCCUCGGCUUAACCGGGGAACUGCAUCUGAUACUGGAUGGCUUGAGUUCGGGAGAGGGAUGCGGAAUUCCAGGUGUAGCGGUGAAAUGCGUAGAUAUCUGGAGGAACACCGGUGGCGAAGGCGGUGGUCUGGGCCGGUACUGACGCUGAGGAGCGAAAGCGUGGGGAGCGAACAGG
RNAcentral lists this ribosomal RNA (253 nucleotides) under uncultured bacterium. Its description in RNAcentral is "partial 16S ribosomal RNA". It matches the Rfam family "Bacterial small subunit ribosomal RNA", at positions 524 to 776 of the family's 1533-position model. The record is from RNAcentral.